CAGGAGGUAUUCCAGAAACUGGGACUGGCAAAUAUACCAGAUCCGAUGAACACAGUUCAAUUUAGUGUUCUGCUUGGAAAACACACAUUCUGAAAUGUUCAUGUAAUUGAUAGGCGGGGCCAUCCACUUGGGCUGAGUGGGAGCACCUGGGCCCAAUGCUCCCACUCACUACAUAAGCUGCCACCUUGGUCCUCUCAGAGACUUUUUUUUUGGUGCUUUGUUUGGUUCCAUUAUCAAUUUUUCCACCAACACCCGCACACCAUCCCACACAUCCACUCACUGACACGGCUGACUUUACUGCCAUCCACAUCUCUUUUGCAAUUUAGUUUAUUUUGUUGUAAAUAUAUCAGUUAAUUUU
This is a long non-coding RNA of Sander lucioperca (pikeperch), 358 nucleotides long. RefSeq lists it as uncharacterized. The record is from RefSeq and is a predicted model, not a curated record. The transcript has 2 exons. Lineage: Eukaryota; Metazoa; Chordata; Actinopteri; Perciformes; Percidae.